AUUGUGGCUCAGUGGUGGAGCAUUUGCCUAGCAUGUGAAGAUUCUGGGUUCUAUCCCCAGCACCAAUA
RNAcentral lists this transfer RNA (68 nucleotides) under Marmota monax (woodchuck). RNAcentral's name for it is "tRNA.Ala". The stretch from base 3 to 62 matches the Rfam family "tRNA", at positions 6 to 65 of the family's 71-position model. From Rfam's summary of the family: Transfer RNA (tRNA) molecules are approximately 80 nucleotides in length. Their secondary structure includes four short double-helical elements and three loops (D, anti-codon, and T loops). Lineage: Eukaryota; Metazoa; Chordata; Mammalia; Rodentia; Sciuridae. The record is from RNAcentral.